UAUAAGUACAACAAUAAGUUUUCGCGUCCAAAUUUAAUCGUUCGUCUUAUCUAAAAAUUUUUUAUAAUUAGUAUUUUUAUUAUUAUGAGAUGAUAAAACAUGAAUAGUACUUUACUCGUGACUUAUGUUUUUAAAUUUUUUUAAAAAAAAUUUUUAAAUAAGACGGACGGUCAAAGUUGGGCGCGAAAAACCACGGCUGCACUUAUA
MicroRNA precursor from Oryza sativa Indica Group (long-grained rice), 207 nucleotides. It matches the Rfam family "MIR812 microRNA precursor family". The record is from Rfam. Lineage: Eukaryota; Viridiplantae; Streptophyta; Magnoliopsida; Poales; Poaceae.